This 424-nucleotide ribosomal RNA is filed under the name Fusobacteriota bacterium. Its description in RNAcentral is "Fusobacteria bacterium partial 16S ribosomal RNA". It matches the Rfam family "Bacterial small subunit ribosomal RNA", at positions 355 to 776 of the family's 1533-position model. The record is from RNAcentral. Lineage: Bacteria; Fusobacteriati; Fusobacteriota.
UGAGGAAUAUUGGUCAAUGGGCGAGAGCCUGAACCAGCCAAGUAGCGUGCAGGAUGACGGCCCUAUGGGUUGUAAACUGCUUUUAUGUGGGGAUAAAGUGCGUGACGUGUCAUGCAUUGCAGGUACCACAUGAAUAAGGACCGGCUAAUUCCGUGCCAGCAGCCGCGGUAAUAUGGAAGGUCCGGGCGUUAUCCGGAUUUAUUGGGUGUAAAGGGAGCGUAGGCUGUCUAUUAAGCGUGUUGUGAAAUUUACCGGCUCAACCGGUGGCUUGCAGCGCGAACUGGUCGACUUGAGUAUGCAGGAAGUAGGCGGAAUUCAUGGUGUAGCGGUGAAAUGCUUAGAUAUCAUGACGAACUCCGAUUGCGCAGGCAGCUUACUGUAGCAUAACUGACGCUGAUGCUCGAAAGUGCGGGUAUCAAACAGG